Molecule: microRNA precursor, 80 nt
Filed under: Chlorocebus sabaeus (green monkey)
Lineage: Eukaryota; Metazoa; Chordata; Mammalia; Primates; Cercopithecidae
Description: miRNA (ENSCSAG00000020882.1)
Source: RNAcentral
GACCUAGGCUAGGAGUUCUUAGCAUGGGGGGUUUUCCCAUGCUAAGACAUCCUCCCAUGCUAAGAACUCCUAGCCUAGGA